GAACUUCCGAUCUCAGCCAGGGGUCCCACAGAGAGAGAAGAAGAGGAAGGCCAUGAGGAAAGGAGAGACCAGAGGAGGCUGAGGCAGAAGAGGAAUUGUGAUGAGCAGGCUGCUGGGGGAUUCAGCAUAAGGACACCCUUGGAACAGAGCAAGCCAGGUGUUGAAGCCUGGGCUCUCCCUCAAACUUGCUGUGUAGCCAGUAUACUAGUCUGCUGCCCCUUUGCUGUGAUAAGACAUGACCAAGAGUAACGUGGAGAAGAAAGGAUUUUUUUUUUCCAUCCCUUGCUUUCAAAUGACAGCCCAAUAUGCAAGGAAGCUAAUGCAGGCACCUGGGAGCCAGAACAGAAGCUGAGCCCAUGGUUGAAUACUGUUCCCUGGUUUACUCUCAAGCUCAUGUUCAGAUCCCUUUCUUCUACAGUCCGGGUCUACCUGCCCAAGGAUGGAACUGCUCAUGAUGGGCUGGUCUCUCCUGUAUCAACUAGAGGUCAAGAAAAUGCACAAGUCCACAGAACUGUCCAAUGGAAGCAGUUUUUCAGUUGAGGUUCCUUCUUCUAGAAGUGUCAUGUUACAGACAAAACUAACCAGAACAGCC
Molecule: long non-coding RNA, 592 nt
Filed under: Mus pahari (shrew mouse)
Lineage: Eukaryota; Metazoa; Chordata; Mammalia; Rodentia; Muridae
Description: lncRNA (MGP_PahariEiJ_G0005815.1)
Source: RNAcentral